GCCUUCGUAGUGUAGUGGUCGGCACACCCCACUCGAACUCGAGAGGUCCGUGGUUCGAUUCCUGGCAAGGGCA
This 73-nucleotide transfer RNA is filed under the name Stegodyphus mimosarum. It matches the Rfam family "tRNA". Rfam says of the family: Transfer RNA (tRNA) molecules are approximately 80 nucleotides in length. Their secondary structure includes four short double-helical elements and three loops (D, anti-codon, and T loops). Further hydrogen bonds mediate the characteristic L-shaped molecular structure. tRNAs have two regions of fundamental functional importance: the anti-codon, which is responsible for specific mRNA codon recognition, and the 3' end, to which the tRNAs corresponding amino acid is attached (by aminoacyl-tRNA synthetases). tRNAs cope with the degeneracy of the genetic code in two manners: having more than one tRNA (with a specific anti-codon) for a particular amino acid; and 'wobble' base-pairing, i.e. permitting non-standard base-pairing at the 3rd anti-codon position. Lineage: Eukaryota; Metazoa; Arthropoda; Arachnida; Araneae; Eresidae. The record is from Rfam by way of RNAcentral.